Apus apus (common swift) is the source of this 323-nucleotide long non-coding RNA. RefSeq lists it as uncharacterized. Lineage: Eukaryota; Metazoa; Chordata; Aves; Apodiformes; Apodidae. The record is from RefSeq and is a predicted model, not a curated record. The transcript has 3 exons.
GAGAGCUGUGGGGCGCUGUCCUUGGCUCCCAUGCACGUUGUGAGGAGCUGGUACCUGAAAUAUUUGGGUUUUAACAGGAAGGUGCAACUGAAAAGGAGGGAUCCUUUUACCUCAAUGUUAAUAUCUACCUUGAGAAAUGAACUAAGGAACUAACAUCUCUUGUAACUGAGGCCUGUUUGAUCAAGAGAAAAAAAUAAAAGCAGAGAAACCUCCAGAGAUUGUUACGGAUCCUGCUGGGGUUGUUUGGACAACUUUUUGAAAGUGAAGUAGCGCUCUUACGUACCUUCUACUACACCGCUUAGACAUGGUGCUUCCUGGCACUA